RNAcentral lists this ribosomal RNA (465 nucleotides) under uncultured bacterium. RNAcentral's name for it is "partial 16S ribosomal RNA". It matches the Rfam family "Bacterial small subunit ribosomal RNA", at positions 28 to 507 of the family's 1533-position model. The record is from RNAcentral.
GACGAACGCUGGCGGCGUGCUUAACACAUGCAAGUCGAGCGAGGCCCCUCCUUCGGGAGGGUGUCCUCGCGGCGAACGGGUGAGUAACACGUGGGCAACCUGCCCUCAGCUCUGGGAUAACUCCGGGAAACCGGGGCUAAUACCGGAUACGACCUCCACGGGCAUCUGCGGAGGUGGAAAGUUUUUCGGCUGAGGAUGGGCCCGCGGCCUAUCAGCUAGUUGGUGGGGUAGUGGCCCACCAAGGCGACGACGGGUAGCCGGCCUGAGAGGGCGACCGGCCACACUGGGACUGAGACACGGCCCAGACUCCUACGGGAGGCAGCAGUGGGGAAUAUUGCGCAAUGGGCGAAAGCCUGACGCAGCGACGCCGCGUGAGGGACGAAGGCCUUCGGGUUGUAAACCUCUUUCAGCAGGGACGAAGCGAAAGUGACGGUACCUGCAGAAGAAGCACCGGCCAACUACGUG